This 425-nucleotide ribosomal RNA is filed under the name uncultured bacterium. RNAcentral describes it as "bacterial SSU rRNA". It matches the Rfam family "Bacterial small subunit ribosomal RNA", at positions 355 to 773 of the family's 1533-position model. The record is from RNAcentral.
UGGGGAAUCUUGCGCAAUGGGCGAAAGCCUGACGCAGCGACGCCGCGUGCGGGAAGAAGGCCUUCGGGUUGUAAACCGCUUUCAGGAGGGACGAAGCCACUCGGGUUAAUAGCCUAGAGGGUGACGGUACCUCCAGAAGAAGCCCCGGCUAACUACGUGCCAGCAGCCGCGGUAAUACGUAGGGGGCAAGCGUUGUUCGGAUUUAUUGGGCGUAAAGCGCGUGUAGGCGGCCAUACAGGUCCGUUGUGAAAACUCGAGGCUUAACCUCGAGACGUCGAUGGAAACCGUAUGGCUAGAGUCCGGAAGAGGAGAGUGGAAUUCCUGGUGUAGCGGUGAAAUGCGCAGAUAUCAGGAAGAACACCCGUGGCGAAGGCGGCUCUCUGGGACGGUACUGACGCUGAGACGCGAAAGCGUGGGGAGCGAAC